RNAcentral lists this ribosomal RNA (301 nucleotides) under uncultured bacterium. RNAcentral describes it as "partial 16S ribosomal RNA". It matches the Rfam family "Bacterial small subunit ribosomal RNA", at positions 509 to 807 of the family's 1533-position model. The record is from RNAcentral.
CAGUCGCCGCGGUAAGACAGAGGAUGCAAGCGUUAUCCGGAAUGAUUGGGCGUAAAGCGUCUGUAGGUGGCUUUUCAAGUCCACCGUCAAAUCCCAGGGCUCAACCCUGGACAAGCGGUGGAAACUACCAAGCUGGAGUACGGUAGGGGCAGAUGGAGUUUCCGGUGGAGCGGUGAAAUGCGUUGAGAUCAGAAAGAACACCAACGGCGAAAGCACUCUGCUGGGCCGACACUGACACUGAGAGACGAAAGCUAGGGGAGCAAAUGGGAUUAGAGACCCCCGUAGUCCCUGUCUCUUAUAC